This is a long non-coding RNA of Hippocampus comes (tiger tail seahorse), 524 nucleotides long. RefSeq lists it as uncharacterized. NCBI's taxonomy places the organism in Eukaryota, Metazoa, Chordata, Actinopteri, Syngnathiformes, Syngnathidae. The transcript has 3 exons. The record is from RefSeq and is a predicted model, not a curated record.
AUAAGGUGCUGUCAGGGACAUAUUUAUUCAAGCUUACCUCGAUCGCUGACUAUCGAAAAGCUCUGACGUACCGUGGUGGAAUUGAUGACUCGGGGGCGAGGCAACUUUUUGUGCUGGAAUGCCCAGAGAGGCCCCAAACACGCACCUGAUGGUAGACUGGACUUGGGCCGACACAAAAAUGAAGUUCCGUCUGUUUUUACAUCAAGGGCGCAGGCGGCAGUCUAUCAAAAUAGGACCCUUAGUCUUGCAAGAGUUGAGGAAAUCAUGUGUGAUCUUAGCUUCCGUGUGACUUCCCUGUGAAGUCUAGCAAGAUUUACGGCAGGGGGGUCCAAACAACAGCCGUUUAUCUCACAGAGUAGAUCCAGCUCUGCAUGAGACACCAAACGAAUCCCAUCUCUGCAUUCGGAACCCGAAAAAGAGCAAACUCCUAUGUGGCAAUUUUUCAAACAGUUACUUGAGGAUCAUCAAUGUGAUGUCUUCAGAAAUCAGCCGGAAAGCACCAAGUGGAAGAAACCGUUUCUCUU